Molecule: ribosomal RNA, 429 nt
Filed under: Chloroflexota bacterium
Lineage: Bacteria; Bacillati; Chloroflexota
Description: Chloroflexi bacterium partial 16S ribosomal RNA
Rfam family: Bacterial small subunit ribosomal RNA
Source: RNAcentral
UGGGGAAUAUUGCACAAUGGGCGCAAGCCUGAUGCAGCCAUGCCGCGUGUGUGAAGAAGGCCUUCGGGUUGUAAAGCACUUUCAGCGGGGAGGAAGGCGAUAAGGUUAAUAACCUUGUCGAUUGACGUUACCCGCAGAAGAAGCACCGGCUAACUCCGUGCCAGCAGCCGCGGUAAUACGGAGGGUGCAAGCGUUAAUCGGAAUUACUGGGCGUAAAGCGCACGCAGGCGGUCUGUCAAGUCGGAUGUGAAAUCCCCGGGCUCAACCUGGGAACUGCAUUCGGAACUGGCAGGCUAGAGUCUUGUAGAGGGGGGUAGAAUUCCAGGUGUAGCGGUGAAAUGCGUAGGGAUCUGGAGGAAUACCGGUGGCGAAGGCGGCCCCCUGGACAAAGACUAACGCUCAGGUGCGAAAGCGUGGGGAGCAAACAGG